Carassius auratus (goldfish) is the source of this 1268-nucleotide long non-coding RNA. RefSeq lists it as uncharacterized. NCBI's taxonomy places the organism in Eukaryota, Metazoa, Chordata, Actinopteri, Cypriniformes, Cyprinidae. The record is from RefSeq and is a predicted model, not a curated record. The transcript is spliced from 3 exons.
UUGUUUGUGCUUCAUUAUAAAAAAUAGUUUCACUUUUGCUGAUCUGAUAAGGACUUGGAUUUCCUUAUUUUUGUGCAGAUUCACUUGAGAAGUCAGUCUGAGCUGACGAGAUCUGUCUUGCUUUGCCAGAUUCACUUGAGAAGUCAGUCUGAGUCGACGAGAUCCGUCUUGCUUUGCCAGCAUGUCAGAAAGCGGAUCAACGAGUCAAGAAGAUGCUGAUAACUACUCACCUGUGACUGGCGAUGGAUGUUAUAUAUAUGUAAUUCGUGAAAAAUACACAGAUUAUUACAAAGUGGGGAAAACCGUAAAUCCCUCCAAGAGACUGGGAGACCUACAGACUGGGAAUCCCCGUGAGCUAAUAUUCAAACGUAUUAAGAAGGUAGAAGAUAAAAAAUGGGAGAAAUAUGUUCAAGACAAUCUGAAGGAUUACAGCGUCACACAGGGUGGUGGGACAGAAUGGUUUAAAAUCCCAAUGAUACAUAAAAAAAUUAUUUAUGAUGUGCUUGAUGAAGUACCCUCUGCAAACCUUUCAGAAUAUUCUGUUGGCGAGGAAUAACACACAUAAGCUGGUUUCACUUUAUACUUCAGCAUAACAAUGUUGAAUUACAGAAUUACCGACACCAGCUCAAUUUUGCACAGUACGGCUUUGUCUUUCCCUUGCAUUAGAUUAUAAAGCUGAAAUAAACAAAAGUUAUACAUAUUUUCAUACCUAUUAUUAGCAAUUUCAAUAUCAUUCCCUCAUCUCUUCUGUUAAGUGUCCUUUGGUUCUUUUAAUUUGGAAUAUGCAGUUGUCAAACAGUUAUUUUUACAAGCAUACUAGUGGUCCAUCAUUAUAUAUUCUGCUUUAAUUACAAUAGUCAUAUCUCCUGUAAACAUAACCCAUGUUUGUGACUAAUUAUUAGGACAACAUAGCUACUGCAUUGUCAACAAGCAAUGUCUAGCUAUUUAGUUGAAUCAUUUGCCGCUUUAUAUUUCUAUGAAGUUAUGUAAAAUACUAAAAUCGCCUCUGUCAUUUCUCAGAAGAAUGAAGGAUACUGUAUGUGGCCUGUGAAGCAAUGUUAAUAAACAGGAACCGCUUUGGAUUACAACUUGACUCUGUGGACUUCAUUAAAAACAGAGUCACUUCUUCAUACAGAGGGUAUGGAACAACUACCUAGUCAUGUUGUUUAGGCAGAUCCAGCUAGACAAGCUUUAGAGAUCAAUCACUUACUCUGAACCAGAAGAGCUCUGAUGACUGCAUCUUGUUCAAAGAUUCUUAUGUUUAUGUU